CUUGCUUCCAAAGAGACUUAGUGGCGAACGGGUGAGUAACACGUAGGUAACCUGCCCAUGUGUCCGGGAUAACUGCUGGAAACGGUAGCUAAAACCGGAUAGGUAUACAGAGCGCAUGCUCAGUAUAUUAAAGCGCCCAUCAAGGCGUGAACAUGGAUGGACCUGCGGCGCAUUAGCUAGUUGGUGAGGUAACGGCCCACCAAGGCGAUGAUGCGUAGCCGGCCUGAGAGGGUAAACGGCCACAUUGGGACUGAGACACGGCCCAAACUCC
This 271-nucleotide ribosomal RNA is filed under the name uncultured Bacillota bacterium. Its description in RNAcentral is "uncultured Firmicutes bacterium partial 16S ribosomal RNA". It matches the Rfam family "Bacterial small subunit ribosomal RNA", at positions 75 to 339 of the family's 1533-position model. The record is from RNAcentral. Lineage: Bacteria; Bacillati; Bacillota.